AGCAGCCGCGGUAAUUCCAGCUCCAAUAGCGUAUAUUAAAGUUGUUGCAGUUAAAAAGCUCGUAGUUGAAUUUCGGGAUCAGUAGGUUGGUCGUGCCACCGGUAUGUACUGGCCUUGCUGGUUCCUCCUUCUUGAAGAACCGUGAUGCCAUUAAUUUGGUGUUGCGGGGAAACAGGACUGUUACUUUGAAAAAAUUAGAGUGUUUAAAGCAAGCUAACGCUUGAAUACAUUAGCAUGGAAUAAUAGAAUAGGACGUUCGAUCCUAUUUUGUUGGUUUCUAGGGUUGACGUAAUGAUUAAUAGGGAUAGUUGGGGGCAUUAGUAUUCAAUUGUCAGAGGUGAAAUUCUUGGAUUUAUUGAAGACUAACUACUGCGAAAGCAUUUGCCAAGGAUGUUUUCAUUAAUCAAGAACGAAAGUUAGGGGAUCGAAGACGAUCAGAUACCGUCGUAGUCUUAACCAUAAACUAUGCCGACUAGGGAUCGGAUGAUGUAAUUUUUAAUGACUCAUUCGGCGCCUUACG
RNAcentral lists this ribosomal RNA (520 nucleotides) under uncultured Glomus. RNAcentral's name for it is "SSU rRNA". It matches the Rfam family "Eukaryotic small subunit ribosomal RNA", at positions 569 to 1092 of the family's 1831-position model. Lineage: Eukaryota; Fungi; Glomeromycota; Glomeromycetes; Glomerales; Glomeraceae. The record is from RNAcentral.